UACAGAGGGUGCGAGCGUUGUCCGGAAUCACUGGGCGUAAAGGGCGCGUAGGCGGCCUCCAAAGCGUGCGGUGAAAGCCUGGGGCUCAACUCCAGGUCGGCCGUGCGAACUGGGAGGCUAGAGCUCGGUAGAGGCAGGUGGAAUUCCGGGUGUAGCGGUGGAAUGCGUAGAGAUCCGGAAGAACACCGGUGGCGCAGGCGGCCUGCUGGGCCGAUGCUGACGCUGAUGCGCGACAGCGUGGGGAGCAAACAGGAUUAGAAACCCCAGUAGUCC
RNAcentral lists this ribosomal RNA (273 nucleotides) under uncultured bacterium. RNAcentral describes it as "partial 16S ribosomal RNA". It matches the Rfam family "Bacterial small subunit ribosomal RNA", at positions 524 to 796 of the family's 1533-position model. The record is from RNAcentral.